GACGAACGCUGGCGGCGUGCUUAACACAUGCAAGUCGAACGGAAAGGCCCUGCUUUUGUGGGGUGCUCGAGUGGCGAACGGGUGAGUAACACGUGAGUAACCUGCCCUUGACUUUGGGAUAACUUCAGGAAACUGGGGCUAAUACCGGAUAGGAGCUCCUGCUGCAUGGUGGGGGUUGGAAAGUUUCGGCGGUUGGGGAUGGACUCGCGGCUUAUCAGCUUGUUGGUGGGGUAGUGGCUUACCAAGGCUUUGACGGGUAGCCGGCCUGAGAGGGUGACCGGCCACAUUGGGACUGAGAUACGGCCCAGACUCCUACGGGAGGCAGCAGUGGGGAAUAUUGCACAAUGGGCGGAAGCCUGAUGCAGCAACGCCGCGUGCGGGAUGACGGCCUUCGGGUUGUAAACCGCUUUCGCCUGUGACGAAGCGUGAGUGACGGUAAUGGGUAAAGAAGCACCGGCUAACUACGUGCCAGCAGCCGCGGUGAUACGUAGGGUGCGAGCGUUGUCCGGAUUUAUUGGGCGUAAAGGGCUCGUAGGUGGUUGAUCGCGUCGGAAGUGUAAUCUUGGGGCUUAACCCUGAGCGUGCUUUCGAUACGGGUUGACUUGAGGAAGGUAGGGGAGAAUGGAAUUCCUGGUGGAGCGGUGGAAUGCGCAGAUAUCAGGAGGAACACCAGUGGCGAAGGCGGUUCUCUGGGCCUUUCCUGACGCUGAGGAGCGAAAGCGUGGGGAGCGAACAGGCUUAGAUACCCUGGUAGUCCACGCUGUAAACGGUGGGUACUAGGUGUGGGGUCCAUUCCACGGGUUCCGUGCCGUAGCUAACGCUUUAAGUACCCCGCCUGGGGAGUACGGCCGCAAGGCUAAAACUCAAAGGAAUUGACGGGGCCCCGCACAAGCGGCGGAGCAUGCGGAUUAAUUCGAUGCAACGCGUAGAACCUUACCUGGGUUUGACAUGGAUCGGGAGUGCUCAGAGAUGGGUGUGCCUCUUUUGGGGUCGGUUCACAGGUGGUGCAUGGCUGUCGUCAGCUCGUGUCGUGAGAUGUUGGGUUAAGUCCCGCAACGAGCGCAACCCUUGUUCACUGUUGCCAGCACGUUAUGGUGGGGACUCAGUGGAGACCGCCGGGGUCAACUCGGAGGAAGGUGGGGAUGACGUCAAGUCAUCAUGCCCCUUAUGUCCAGGGCUUCACGCAUGCUACAAUGGCUGGUACAGAGAGUGGCGAGCCUGUGAGGGUGAGCGAAUCUCGGAAAGCCGGUCUCAGUUCGGAUUGGGGUCUGCAACUCGACCUCAUGAAGUCGGAGUCGCUAGUAAUCGCAGAUCAGCAACGCUGCGGUGAAGACGUUCCCGGG
This 1343-nucleotide ribosomal RNA is filed under the name uncultured bacterium. RNAcentral's name for it is "16S ribosomal RNA". It matches the Rfam family "Bacterial small subunit ribosomal RNA", at positions 28 to 1378 of the family's 1533-position model. The record is from RNAcentral.